GCAGUCUGGUGCCAGCAGCCGCGGUAAUUCCAGCUCCAAUAGCGUAUAUUAAAGUUGUUGCAGUUAAAAAGCUCGUAGUUGAACUUUGGGCUUGGUCAGCCGGUCCGCUUUUUUGCGUGUACUGGUCCUGACCGAGCCUUUCCUUCUGGCUAACCUGUCUCUCGGGGCAGGCGAACCAGGACUUUUACUUUGAAAAAAUUAGAGUGUUCAAAGCAGGCCUUUGCUCGAAUAUAUUAGCAUGGAAUAAUAGAAUAGGACGUUUGGUUCUAUUUUGUUGGUUUCUAGGACCAUCGUAAUGAUUAAUAGGGACGGUCGGGGGCAUCAGUAUUCAAUUGUCAGAGGUGAAAUUCUUGGAUUUAUUGAAGACUAACUACUGCGAAAGCAUUUGCCAA
This 392-nucleotide ribosomal RNA is filed under the name uncultured fungus. RNAcentral describes it as "SSU rRNA". It matches the Rfam family "Eukaryotic small subunit ribosomal RNA", at positions 556 to 961 of the family's 1831-position model. Lineage: Eukaryota; Fungi. The record is from RNAcentral.